GACGAACGCUGGCGGCGUGCUUAACACAUGCAAGUCGAACGGAAAGGCCUGCUUUCCCUUGUGGUUUGCGGGUACUCGAGCGGCGAACGGGCGAGUAAAACGCGAGCGAUUUGCCCCCAACUUGGGUAUAAGACCGGGAAACUGGGCCUAAUUACCGAUAGGACUGCAGGGUGGUGUCGGUGGUGGAAAACGAUCUGCUAGUGGUUGGGGAUGAGCUCGCGGCUUAUCAGCUUGUUGGAGGGGUAAUGGCCGACCACGGCGGGGACGGGUAGCCGGCCGGAGAGGGUGGACGGCGGCAUUGGGACUGGGAUACGGCCCAGACUCCUGCGAGCGGCAGCGAUGGGGAAUCAAGGGCCGUGGGCGUGAGCCUGAUGCAGCGACGCCGCGUGGGAGAUGUCGGCCUUCGGGUUGUAAGCUCCUUUCGACCGCGAGGAGGCCACCUAGUUGGAAGGGUGGUGACGGUAGUGGUAGAAGAAGCACCGGCUAACUACGUG
RNAcentral lists this ribosomal RNA (494 nucleotides) under uncultured bacterium. RNAcentral describes it as "partial 16S ribosomal RNA". It matches the Rfam family "Bacterial small subunit ribosomal RNA", at positions 28 to 507 of the family's 1533-position model. The record is from RNAcentral.